RNAcentral lists this ribosomal RNA (710 nucleotides) under Cuphodes diospyrosella. RNAcentral's name for it is "SSU rRNA". It matches the Rfam family "Eukaryotic small subunit ribosomal RNA", at positions 486 to 1152 of the family's 1831-position model. The record is from RNAcentral. Lineage: Eukaryota; Metazoa; Arthropoda; Insecta; Lepidoptera; Gracillariidae.
CGGGACUCUCACGAGGCCUCGUAAUCGGAAUGAGUACACUUUAAAUAUUUUAACGAGGAACAAUUGGAGGGCAAGUCUGGUGCCAGCAGCCGCGGUAAUUCCAGCUCCAAUAGCGUAUACUAAAUUUGUUGCGGUUAAAAAGCUCGUAGUUGCAUUUGUGCGCCGCGCUGUCGGUGCACCGCUUCCGCGGUGAUACUGACACGUUUGCGGAGCAUAUCGUCGGUGAGCCGCCGGUCAAACGGCGGUUCAAUAUCAAAAUCCUAUCGCGGUGCUCUUCAGUGAGUGUCGAGGUGGGCCGACAAUUUUACUUUGAACAAAUUAGAGUGCUCAAAGCGGGCUCAAAACGCUGCUUGAAUAUUUCGUGCAUGGAAUAAUAGAAUAUGAUCUCGGUUCUAUUUUGUUGGUUUUCAGAACUCCGAGGUAAUGAUUAAUAGGGAUAACUGGGGGCAUUCGUAUUGCGACGUUAGAGGUGAAAUUCUUGGAUCGUCGCAAGACGAACAUCAGCGAAAGCAUUUGCCAAAGGUGUUUUCAUCAAUCAAGAACGAAAGUUAGAGGUUCGAAGGCGAUUAGAUACCGCCCUAGUUCUAACCGUAAAUAUGUCAUCUAGCGAUCCGCCGACGUUAAUCAAAUGGCUCGGCGGGCAGCUUCCGGGAAACCAAAGAUUUUGGACUCCGGGGGGAGUAUGGUUGCAAAGCUGAAACUUAAAGGAA